RNAcentral lists this long non-coding RNA (7779 nucleotides) under Cricetulus griseus (Chinese hamster). RNAcentral's name for it is "lncRNA (ENSCGRG00015037619.1)". Lineage: Eukaryota; Metazoa; Chordata; Mammalia; Rodentia; Cricetidae. The record is from RNAcentral.
GAGAAACAGCAAGGAAAGGGAAGGUGUCAGGAGUUGUUGGACUAUGAUUCCAGGGACUAAACUCUCAGGAUUCUGGUCUCUUCACCUCCCAAUGCUUGGCGGUCGGAUUUACCCUCGACCCUGGGAGCCUGCCCUUAGCCUACAGUCAAAUAGCUCCCUUUUUCCUUUGGACUAGUUUAAAUUGUGUCUCUGUCGCUUCCCGUUCAGAGGAAUACACACUCCAUUUGCCAGGCUCCCUUUGUGGAAUUCACCGGCUGGGAAGGUUGACCUGACCACUUGCUUUGUGAGCAUGAGGAAUGGAGGACACAAACCACACUCAAGAAGGUCUUCCUGAGUGCUGAAGGUCAAUCAACUAGAACUUUCUCAAGCUUUUAGAGGAGUGGAAUUCUGGAAACAAAACCUCUUCCCCGGGAGCGGCCGUCAGCAGUAGGGUGGGAUGAACUCAGCGCCCCCUGCACACCCGGUGUCCACCUGUCGUGCAGCUGAGUCAGAACCAUCCAGAUAGAUGAGGGAAGAGAAAGAAACCCCAGCACCCCACGUUGUGAAACCAGCACCCAGAUUUCUGUCUGUAAAAACCCUGCUGAUCUCCCCGGGCAGGAUGCAGAGCCAUGGUUGCCAGGCGCUGGGCAAAGGCGGAAGUGAGCAGUCGAUGCUCACCCGGGACCCCGGGUUUCCUUGUGGGGUGAUGAGAGCAUUCUAAAAUUACUGUGCUGGUGACUCACGACCCGAGCGCGCACUGAAUGCAGCUGAAGUGUGAGUCGUACAGCAUGUGAACUCUGUCGUUCUGUUGGCUUGGUUUGGGCUUUUGGUUUGGGCAUUCUGACUAAGCAGCCCCCAGGCUGGUCUCGAACCCUCCGGUGCUGGAACGCAGACAUCACAGUUUGACAUGGACGGCACUGCCAACUUCUGCUCCCGACUCUGGCCCUACGACCUUGGACCACGGUGUUGUCAGCUUCAGUACACUGACCUUGGGAGAACACUCGCUUAGGCUAGCCUGGUCUACUGAGCAAGUUCUAGGACAGCCGCCAAAGCUACGGAGAAUCCCUGUCUCGAAAAACCAUAAAGAAACAUCGUUGGGGUUUUAUCAGGCCAACAGACUCCUCUAAUCAUCUGUGCCUUUGGCUGUGCAGCGUCUGUCACCUGUCUUCCCUCUGGGGAUGCAGUGAUGCUGUUUUACUAGCUGGCGCUCAGCUGGUCCCCGUUCUCAGGGGCAUCAUGUUGGUUGCCUGAAAUCUGCCACAAGAGAAGUGUUUCCACCAGAGACACUGGCAAAGGCGUGCAAUAUUAUCACGGCUAAUUUCUGCCUUUGGACAUUGGACUCAAGACCUUGUAUGCAAGCUAAGCAAGUACUCCACCGCCGAGUUACAACCCUUGUCUCCCACUCUUUGCCUGGACUGUUUCUGCUUACCCUCCAAGACGGUUCUGUCAGGCAGUCUUGGAUUCCCAUGGAGCAAUAUGGAGAAGCAAUCAACUUCUCUGUUAAGUGUGUGGGGCUGAGUGCUGUGCAAACAUAACUUCCUGCCUCCAUCAAAGCCUUCGAAUCUCGUCGUCGUCGUCGGUAUUUGUUUGACUGUCUCCCCAGUAGCUUCUGUGGGCGAAGAACAACUAUCUAUGUUGGUCUGUAAAACCCUCCAGGGAGGGAACUUACAUAGUGAGGUCUUUGCGAAUGCCUUCCUAUUUAAUUAAGUAGAAACUAGGGGGAGAAACUGCAUUGCUUUCCCUGUGUGCGCUACCAACGUCGUGAGUGGUGCUGACUAUUUUCUCAAGAGCUUCAGAGGGACAGGUAAAAUCUGACUCUACAUAACAAAACUGUACAAGGGCACUAACAGUCUACUGUUUCUGGGCCGUUGACAGGUGCGCUUGGGGCUGCAAGAACCGAUGUAUGAAGCUGGAAAUGUUAUGUCUCUGAGAUUAGCAAUCAGUGGUUUCAGUGGAGUUUUCAAUAGGAGAGGUCCCUGAUUUGAGGAUGUAACUGCAGAAGACAAUCGUGACAGUUCAGAGGAGUGGAAAGGAACGCUGGCCUUGGAGGAAGUGGUCAAUGGUGCUGAACAGGAAGUGUUGUAGAGUUCAAAAGAUUAGGGGCCUAAGAGGAGACAGUUCCAGGUAAGAGGAGACGGUUACAGGUAAGGUACCCGGAACUGUUCUACACGAAAGAGUCUGGGGUGUCCCAGAGAGAGUUGUGAUUGUGAAAACCUUUUUCAAACGGUAGUUUGGCCCUCAAGUCAGCUUUGCAAACAACAGAGGCAUCAGAACACCCGGUUUUAGUCAGAAUUGUGAAUUUUUUUUAUUUUUAAAUAAGAUUUAAUUUUAUUUUUUAUUUGUCUGUGUCCGGUGCCCAGGAAGGUUGGGCGAGAGCGUCAGAUCCCCUGGAAUUGGAGUUACAGGUGGCUGUGAGGCUUCUAACCCAUGCUGGGAACCAAACUCUGGAGCAGCUAGCUCUCAGAACUCCUGCGCCAUCUCUCCAGCUCUUUUAUUUUUGUGACAGAGUCCCAUGUAGCCCAGGCUGGUUUCAAACUCACUAAGUAGUUGGGGAUGAUCUUGAACUCCUGGUCCUCCUGUCUCCACCUCCUAAGUGUUGGAAUUCCAAGUACGACCCACUAUACCAGACCUGAUGAGCACUUACUGAGAAAGGAGAAAAAUUAAUUCACCCUUUCUGUGACUUCCCACUACUGUACCCUGUGUUCAUGAGUCCUAUGAACAAGGAGGCAGCUGCACUUUGUACUCACGGAAAGACUAAGAAUUUUCACAGACAGCACAAACUCCAGGAGAGAUUUGCUAAUCAAAGCACAGACCUCUGGAUAAGAGUAUCCAAGGAGGGGCUGGAGAGACGACUCAGUGGUUAAGAGCACUGGCUGCUCUUCCAGAGGUCCUAAGUUCAAUUCCCAGCAACUACAUGGUGGCUCACAACCAUCUAUAAUGAGAUUUGGUGCCCUCUUCUGGCGUGCAGGGAUACAUGGAGGCAGAGUGUUAUAUACAUAAUAAAUAAAUAAGUCUGAAAAAAAGAAUACCUAAGGAAUAUCAUUCAACUAAAGCGAAGGGCAGAGUUUUGAUUAUUUUAAAAUCAUAUUUAUUUUAUGUGUGUAAGUGUUUUGCCUGCAUGUUUAUAUGUAUCCUUUGUGUGUGUGUUGUACCCUCAGUGGUCAGAAGAGGGCAUCAGAUCCCCUGGGACUGGAAUUACGGACAAUUAUGGUCUUCUGCAAGAGUAACAAGAGCUCUUAACCAUUGAGUCAUCUCUCCAAAAUAUAAACCCAUAUAUAUAUAUAUAUAUAUAUAUAUAUAUAUAUAUAUAUAUAUAUACACCCAUCCCUUCCUCAGUAGCCACCUGUCUGGGACAUAAGAAGCACGGAGUAUAUAGUUUUUAAAAUGAAUAUAAGUAGGCUAAAUUAGCAGAUGGCUUUUGCAUGGAGUUUGUCAUUUGUUUGUCUGUUUUCCAGGGUGCCAAAGAUAGAACCCAGCAGCCUCAUACAUGCUGGGCAAAUGUUGUUUCAGAGAUCUGAAUCAUACCCAUAGCUGAUAAAUCAUUAUUAUGUACAUAUUAUGUAAAAAAGAGAGUCGAUGAACCCUUCUAGACUUCAGCAUAAGAACCAACUUUAACAACCAAGGUCAAACCUAGCCAACUCAGGGAGAGGGCAGGGGGUGGGGCUGAGGGCAGAGCUGGGGCCGGCAGGGGUGGGGCCGGAGAAGGAGAGGGGGCACUGCCCACUUCUAAGUGAGUCUUAACACUUAGACUAUGGAAUAAUCCUUUGUGGUCACUGUGACUAUGUAUUCCUCUCAUUGGUCUAAUAAAGAGUUGAAUAGCUAGGCGGAGGAGCUGAACUGAGAGCCACACUGAGAGGACACUGGAAAGAAGACGGGCACAGUCAUGGGGUACAGGGGACACGCCUCCUCGGGGCUGGCUACAGGUGUGCCCGACCAUGCCCACCAGGGCGUGGUCAGGGUGACAUGGGGGAAGGUUUAAGAGUGAGAGGCAUGCACAUGGGAGCCCCUUCUUCCUUUUCACUAUUGGCUUGCUGCACUUACUCCGUGCCCUGCCUGCUGGCUAGGUUGCUCUCUGUAAGUAAGGCAUCUCCCUAAUAAAUACCUUAAUAUCUUUACCUGACUCUGUAUUGGUAAUUCACUCAUUAAACAUACCUUAAUAUCUCUUCUGGCUCCAUAUUGGUAUUCACCUUAUAAUGGGGGGUCACCAGUGAGAUGCAGAGAAAGCAGGAGAUGAACACGCCCAGCUGAAACAAGGUACCUCCACAUGGUAGAGCAUGGAUAAGAAUAUGCAUUGAUUUAAGAUGUAAGAGCUGGUUAGUAAUAAGCCUAAGCUAUUGGCCCAGCAUCAUUAAGUCUCUGUGUGAUUAUUUGGGAGCUGGCUGGCUGGACAGAGCUGGCUGGUGUGAUGAAAACUCUGCCAACAACACCUCACUUCCCAAAGGUUCCACCAGCUCCCAGUAGUACUCUCCUGGGGACCAAACGUUUAGAAUAUAUGCUUUUGGGAGAUACUCAAUAUCCAAACUAUAACACCUUCACAUAACACAUGCAAGCAUCUACAUACUUAAGUACUUCUAUACACACAUAUGUAUAGCUGUGAAGGGACCAGCUCCCCAUUUCAGCAGCCAUAACAGCCUAACACGUGCUUGCCUGAUCUUGCCUUGGUCACUAGGAGGUCAGGUGCCUGACUUGUGGCAAGGAACCAAUCAGAAGUUAUCUGGUGGUGCUAUGAUUUACGGCUCUGGGUGUACUUUACAGACAAGUGCACAGCAAUGAUGCACAGAGCAUAGCAACCACCCUGGGAGGGCCUAUGGGCCAUAACAACCAGUUGGCCAAUCAACACAGGGCAAGCCCUCCAAGCCUGGAGGCACACCAAUCCUGAGCCUGUGUGUACCCCUAGACACUCCCCUUAUGCUGCCCUACAAGAUCUCUAUGCAGGUGCUUCGAGCUGUCUUUUCUAGCCAUCCGCCAUGGUGGGUGGAUGAAAGACCCGAGCUAACAUGGGGUUAGCUCAUUAAACAACUACAAUAAAGCCUCGUGUGGUUUGCAUCAAGCUUUCGCCUCCACCUGGUGAUUGGGGUGGCCGUGGUCCUGGACCGAGAUCCUGGGGACCAAGCCUCCGGGGGUCUUUCAGCUGUAUACAUAUGCAUACUUGUAUCAACAUUUAAGUACAGGAUAAAGGAAGAUAAAGAAUAUGUGCUACCAUCUUGCUCUUUUCUUUUCUUUUCUUUUCUUUUCUUUUCUUUUCUUUUCUUUAAUGAGACAAAGGUUCACUGUGCAGCCCUGGCUGGCCUGGAACUCACCCUGUAGAUCAGGCUGGCCUCCAACUGUCAGGGGACUCCACCUUGUGCCUCAUGAGUGCUGGGAUUAAAGAUGUCUCCAGCCUAUUUUUGUUGUUGUUGUUUCCAAAACAGGCUGUUGUGUAGCUUAGGCUGGCCUCUGACUCGGUAUGCAGUCACCCUGUCUCUGUCUCCUGAGUGUGGGGGUUACAAACAUGCUUGGUUCUGGUAUUGUCCAUUUCUGGAAAAUAUUUUUAAGUCAUUUAGGAAGUUCUGACUAAUCUUUUCUAUGGGCUAGCAGUGAGAGGGUCAGUAUGAGUGCCCAGGACACCUGGUGUGAGGGUGCUGUCAAGCUGACAACUAACCUGGGAGCUGUAUCUCUAAACGUGCGCAUGCGUGUGUGGAUUCUCUUGUGUGGUGUUGGCCCCCAUAAUCUCAUAGGGAGUGGCCCUAUUCAGAGGUGUGGCUUCUUUGGAGUGGGUGUGACCCUGCUGGAGGAAGUUUGUCACUGUGGAGCGGCGUUGAUGGCUUAAGCUUUGCUCAGUGUCACAGUUAGUUGAGUUCCUGUUGCCCUCCAAGAUGUGGGACUCUUAUCUCUGGCGUCACAUCUACCUGCACGCCGCCAGGCUCCCUGCCAUGAUGAUAAUGGACUGAACCUCUGAAACUGAACUGACUUGGUGAAGAACCCCUGGCCACUAAGACAGAGCUUUCUUUUAAGCGCCCCACACGGUUUUGCAUCGUUGGUCACCUUGGAAAGAGCUUCUGUUUUCCCCAGUGCCGCCUUUGUUCCACAUUUGGAGCCCAGAACGGGGAAGUGGAAUGAUAUGGAACAUGGAAAUGCAAGUCUAUCACCAGGGCCGUACGAGUCAUUUGGAACAAAAGCAUUUUUAUUUGCCUAGUGCUCAGAAAGUCACGCCAAGAGAUCCAGGGAGGAACUUUGGGUCUCUCUUCCUCCAAAUCACUUCCUCACUCUUAUUCUCUCUCAGGUGGCCAAGACAUGGCAGUCUUGACUGCUAACAAAAUGCCAUUGUGACAUCUCAAUGGCAUGAUUCACGGCGUCUCGGAUGGUUUUUAUUGGGUACUUUCCACAUAUUUCAGGGUACAGCCUUGGCGUCUAUCAGCUGAUUGACUUGGCACAGGAACUCCAUGGGGUGGGAUUUACUGUCCACAGUUAAGGGACUGUGUGUGGCUCACACACAGUCAGCAAUGCCGUAGAGCAGCUCUUGAUUUUAACUGACCCAACUUACACGAUUUGGUAAUUUUAGACUUUGUCCUGAGCCUUGGAAAAUAAGUUCAGUUUUUGUCUCUGGAGUUAGGAAGAAGGCGAAGAGCUAAUAUAAACCCAAGGCAGAUGGACGAAAACUCUUUAGGAUUGUGUGGGUGACUGGGAGCUCUCUGGCUUCUCUGAAGUAUCUGUCUACUGACUGGGGUUUUAGUUGAGGGUUCCUGCUAGAAAACACCAUGAUCGAAAUCAACUUGGGGAGGCUUACACUUCCAUAUCACAGCUCAUCACCAUAGACCAUCAGGGCAGGAACUCAACGCAGGAACCUGGAGGCAGGAGCUGAAACAGAGGCCACGCAGGAGUGAUGCUCACCGGCUUCCUCCUCCAGGCUUGCUCAGCCUGCUUUCUUAUACAGCUUAGGACCAUCUGCCCAGGGCUUGCACCACCUGUACUGGGCUGAGCCUGCCCACAUCUGCCAUUAAUCAAGAAAAAUGCUCUACAGCUAUUUUCUUAAUCGAGUGUUCCUCUUCCCAAAUAGCUUGUGUCAGGUUAGCAUGAAACUAAUCAAGACAGUAGGUGAGGCUAAUCACAUCCCAGAGGUCUCACCUCUCAUCAUUGCUACAAUGGCAAUUAGAUUUCAACGUGAAUUUGCGCAGGGGGGGGGGAAGACAUCAAACCAUAGGAUAACUGAAUGUAUGCUUAGGUACCUGGCUGAAUAUUUCCUCCAAAUAAUCUUGUCUGUCCAUAGGGAUAAACAAGUAUGGUCACUCCAAAGGGACCAGAUCCCCAUUUCGGCAGCCAUAACAGCCUAACACGUGCUUGCCUGACCUUGUCUUGGUUACUAGGAGGUCAGAUACCCACCUCGUGGCAAGGAACCAAUCAGAAGUUAGCUGGUGGUGCUAUGCUUUACAGCUCUGGGUGUGCUUUACAGACAAGUGCACAGCAAUGACAUGCAGAGCAUAGCAACCACCCUGGGAGGGACCAUAACAACCAGUUGACCAAUCAACACAGGGCAAGCCUGGAGGCACACCAAUCCUGAGCCUGUGUGUACCCCUAGAUAAUCCCCUUACGCUGCCCUACAAGAUCUCUGUCCUGUGGUUUCUCGGGGUCUUUCCCCAGCCAUCCACCCUGGUGGAAGGAUGAAAGGCCUGAGCUAAUGGGGUUAGCUCAUUAAACAACUGCAAUAAAAGACUCAUUGCUUUUGCAUGGAAAUGGGCCUCUUGGUGAUUUUGGGGCUCAGAAUUUGGGCAUGACACACUCCAUUUUAAAAAGUUCUUCUAUUUUAAAUAAUUACAAUUCCUG